CCUACGGGAGGCAGCAGUGGGGAAUAUUGGACAAUGGGCGAAAGCCUGAUCCAGCAAUGCCGCGUGUGUGAAGAAGGUCUUAGGAUUGUAAAGCACUUUCGACGGGGACGAUGAUGACGGUACCCGUAGAAGAAGCCCCGGCUAACUUCGUGCCAGCAGCCGCGGUAAUACGAAGGGGGCUAGCGUUGCUCGGAAUGACUGGGCGUAAAGGGCGCGUAGGCGGAUUGUUUAGUUAGGUGUGAAAUUCCUGGGCUUAACCUGGGGACUGCACUUAAUACAGGCAGUCUAGAGUGAGAUAGAGGGUUGUGGAAUUCCCAGUGUAGAGGUGAAAUUCGUAGAUAUUGGGAAGAACACCGGUGGCGAAGGCGGCAACCUGGAUCUUUACUGACGCUGAGGCGCGAAAGCGUGGGGAGCAAACAGGAUUAGAUACCCUGGUAGUCCACGCUGUAAACGAUGUGUGCUGGAUGUUGGGUGACCUAGUCACUCAGUGUCGUAGCUAACGCGAUAAGCACACCGCCUGGGGAGUACGGCCGCAAGGUUGAAACUUAAGGAAUUGACGGCUGAGAGNGCGACGACGACGACGAGGAGAG
Molecule: ribosomal RNA, 590 nt
Filed under: uncultured bacterium
Lineage: Bacteria
Description: bacterial SSU rRNA
Rfam family: Bacterial small subunit ribosomal RNA
Source: RNAcentral